GGGAAGGUUAUAAAGGACCGGAUGAAGAGGCACAUCGACGAGAGUCCAGCAUGUAACGCUUGUUACGUAUAUCUCAACAAUCAUAAAAUGCCAAGGCCUGAAAAUCUGUGGUAGGCUACAGCAGUGUGUGCAAGAUACCAAGGCCUGAAAAUCUGUGGGGUAGGCACCACACUAUCAGUCAUUAGGCACCACAGGAGUCAUUAUUUUGAUGUCGUUGUAGUUUGAUGUUGAGUAUUUUGAUUGUUAAUGGUUAUUUCUGUAUUCUGUACAUUGUAUUCUGUACAUGUUA
Macrosteles quadrilineatus (aster leafhopper) is the source of this 289-nucleotide long non-coding RNA. RefSeq lists it as uncharacterized. Lineage: Eukaryota; Metazoa; Arthropoda; Insecta; Hemiptera; Cicadellidae. The transcript has 3 exons. The record is from RefSeq and is a predicted model, not a curated record.